AAGUCGAAGGGCAUCGCGAGGGAGUGCUUGCACUCCCUGGCGGCGACUGGCGCACGGGUGAGUAACACGUAUGCAACCUGCCCUCCACAGGGGGACAACCUUCCGAAAGGGAGGCUAAUCCCGCGUAAAUCUCGAUGGGGCAUCCCAUUGAGAGGAAAGCUUCGGCGGUGGAGGAUGGGCAUGCGGCGCAUUAGCUAGUCGGCGGGGUAACGGCCCACCGAGGCGACGAUGCGUAGGGGUUCUGAGAGGAAGGUCCCCCACACUGGUACUGAGACACGGACCAGACUCCUACGGGAGGCAGCAGUGAGGAAUAUUGGUCAAUGGGCGGGAGCCUGAACCAGCCAAGCCGCGUGAGGGAAUAAGGCCCUAUGGGUCGUAAACCUCUUUUGUCGGGGAACAAAAGCGGGGACGCGUCCCCGUCUGCGUGUACCCGAAGAAAAAGCAUCGGCUAACUCCGUGCCAGCAGCCGCGGUAAUACGGAGGAUGCGAGCGUUAUCCGGAUUUAUUGGGUU
RNAcentral lists this ribosomal RNA (512 nucleotides) under uncultured bacterium. RNAcentral describes it as "bacterial SSU rRNA". It matches the Rfam family "Bacterial small subunit ribosomal RNA", at positions 59 to 560 of the family's 1533-position model. The record is from RNAcentral.